GGGGCUGAUUCUGGAUUCGACGGGAUUUGCGAAACCCAAGGUGCAUGCCGAGGGGCGGUUGGCCUCGUAAAAAGCCGCAAAAAAAUAGUCGCAAACGACGAAACCUACGCUUUAGCAGCUUAAUAACCUGCUUAGAGCCCUCUCUCCCUAGCCUCCGCUCUUAGGACGGGGAUCAAGAGAGGUCAAACCCAAAAGAGAUCGCGUGGAUGCCCUGCCUGGGGUUGAAGCGUUAAAACGAAUCAGGCUAGUCUGGUAGUGGCGUGUCCGUCCGCAGGUGCCAGGCGAAUGUAAAGACUGACUAAGCAUGUAGUACCGAG
Molecule: transfer-messenger RNA, 317 nt
Filed under: Salmonella enterica subsp. enterica serovar Gallinarum
Lineage: Bacteria; Pseudomonadati; Pseudomonadota; Gammaproteobacteria; Enterobacterales; Enterobacteriaceae
Also listed under: 3 other names
Description: partial transfer-messenger RNA
Rfam family: transfer-messenger RNA
About the family: Bacterial tmRNA, also known as 10Sa RNA or SsrA, is named for its dual tRNA and mRNA-like properties. Its role is to liberate the mRNA from a stalled ribosome.
Source: RNAcentral